UCUGCGGGAGCGGUGCUGGGGCUGGGGCUGCUGCGCCUCCCGCUGCCUGCUGCGGCCCCGGGGUGGCAGUGCUGGCAGUAGCCAGGGCCCGGCCCGGGAAGAGUCCCAGAGGAAGAGGACCCCUCAACAAACCCCAGCUUAGCGAGGGCGGUGAAAGCAGCAGUGCUUCCAGUCUGCAUCAGAAUCCUACAGGAAAUGCAGCCUCAUGCCUGCAGUGGCCCAGGCCAGAGGCCAGGAGGUGUUAGAGAGCACCUUCCUGCUUGGGUGGAGAAGACAGCUUGAGCCAAGGCCAGCCCGCCCACCCUGCAAAGGAGAGCCUCUACAGGAUAAUUGAACAAGAAGAAAGCAUCCAGCUAAAAAGGAAAUAAAGAGAAAGACAAGGAAUUGUGGGCAAGGAGAGAAGAUUUACAUGCUGAAGUGUAAAACUGCAAUUAUGUAUUUCAUAUGUUUAUAUGACAUUCAUCGUGCCAAGUUAAGUGCUUUGGAAGGAUAAAUAUGACUUACUAGCAUCUGACUCAUGAUACCAAUGAAUAUUAAAGCCAAGAUGCAACAAACAGCCUAACUCAGUUAUUUGUGGCACAUUAAGAGAAAGUUGCAAUUCAUCACAACAGAUGACUGAAAAACAGUUCCUGCUAUAACUUUUUACAGUCACUAUAACUACCUCUGCUAGUAGCUUGUGUGAUUUCUCAAGAAAAUAUAUCUUAUAUGCUGAUUACUAAAGCAUUCUCUGCAUCAUACACUCACAUUCUGGUAAAAAAAAGGGACGUGUUUUUGGUUUAAUUUAUUAAACUUAAUCUUUACCAUUCCUUCCUAGUCAAUUGCUUGGGAACCUGGGCUUUAUAUUCCUCAAGUAGUUUUUCUGACAGUGGUAAAUCUUUGCCUACAGUAAACUGUUCAAAACUGAAGAACCAUUAAACCAUUAAGAACCCCAUAAAAUGAAGAUGUAUGAUGGCCAUCCUGAAGAGGCUGUUUCAAAAUCAAGGGCCUAGGGGA
Molecule: long non-coding RNA, 993 nt
Organism: Alligator sinensis (Chinese alligator)
Lineage: Eukaryota; Metazoa; Chordata; Crocodylia; Alligatoridae
Exons: 4
Source: RefSeq, a predicted model, not a curated record